UACGGAGGAUGCGAGCGUUAUCCGGAUUUAUUGGGUUUAAAGGGUGCGUAGGCGGCCGAGUAAGUCAGCGGUGAAAUUUUGCAGCUUAACUGUAACAGUGCCGUUGCUACUGCAUGGCUAGGAUUUGGUUGCUGUGGGUGGAAUGUGUGGUGUAGCGGUGAAAUGCUUAGAUAUCACACAGAAUAUCGAUUGCGAAGGCAGCUCACAAAGCCAAGAUUGACGCUGAGGCACGAAAGUGUGGGGAUCAAA
RNAcentral lists this ribosomal RNA (249 nucleotides) under uncultured prokaryote. Its description in RNAcentral is "partial 16S ribosomal RNA". It matches the Rfam family "Bacterial small subunit ribosomal RNA", at positions 524 to 772 of the family's 1533-position model. The record is from RNAcentral.